AUUGAACGCUGGCGGCAGGCCUAACACAUGCAAGUCGAGCGGAUGAAGGGAGCUUGCUCCUGGAUUCAGCGGCGGACGGGUGAGUAAUGCCUAGGAAUCUGCCUGGUAGUGGGGGAUAACGUCCGGAAACGGGCGCUAAUACCGCAUACGUCCUGAGGGAGAAAGUGGGGGAUCUUCGGACCUCACGCUAUCAGAUGAGCCUAGGUCGGAUUAGCUAGUUGGUGGGGUAAAGGCCUACCAAGGCGACGAUCCGUAACUGGUCUGAGAGGAUGAUCAGUCGCACUGGAACUGAGACACGGUCCAGACUCCUACGGGAGGCAGCAGUGGGGAAUAUUGGACAAUGGGCGAAAGCCUGGUCCAGCCAUGCCGCGUGUGUGAAGAAGGUCUUCGGAUUGUAAAGCACUUUAAGUUGGGAGGAAGGGCAGUAAGUUAAUACCUUGCUGUUUUGACGUUACCAACAGAAUAAGCACCGGCUAACUUCGUG
This 484-nucleotide ribosomal RNA is filed under the name uncultured bacterium. RNAcentral's name for it is "partial 16S ribosomal RNA". It matches the Rfam family "Bacterial small subunit ribosomal RNA", at positions 30 to 507 of the family's 1533-position model. The record is from RNAcentral.